Molecule: ribosomal RNA, 274 nt
Filed under: uncultured bacterium
Lineage: Bacteria
Description: partial 16S ribosomal RNA
Rfam family: Bacterial small subunit ribosomal RNA
Source: RNAcentral
AUACGGAGGGUCCAAGCGUUAUCCGGAAUCAUUGGGUUUAAAGGGUCCGCAGGCGGUCAAUUAAGUCAGAGGUGAAAGCCCAUCGCUCAACGAUGGAACUGCCUUUGAUACUGGUUGACUUGAGUUAUACGGAAGUAGAUAGAAUAAGUAGUGUAGCGGUGAAAUGCAUAGAUAUUACUUAGAAUACCGAUUGCAAAGGCAGUCUACUACGUAUAUACUGACGCUGAGGGACGAAAGCGUGGGGAGCGAACAGGAUUAGAAACCCUAGUAGUCC